Molecule: unclassified non-coding RNA, 221 nt
Filed under: plant metagenome
Description: partial contains small subunit ribosomal RNA, internal transcribed spacer 1, and 5.8S ribosomal RNA
Source: RNAcentral
UUUCCGUAGGUGAACCUGCGGAAGGAUCAUUCAAUUUAGGUGUGUUAUGGCACUUUUUCAAUCCAUAGCCACCUUCUGUGCAACGUUGUCUUUUAAAGCGAAUGCCUUUGAUUAGCGCUACAGGAUGUAAGCAUCAACUCUUAUAUUUAACAACUGUGUCUGAAAACCUUUAUGAUUACUUAAUUCAAAUACAACUUUCAACAACGGAUCUCUUGGCUCUC